UACAGAGGUCUCAAGCGUUGUUCGGAUUCAUUGGGCGUAAAGGGUGCGUAGGUGGCGCCGUAAGUCAGGUGUGAAAUUUCGGAGCUUAACUCCGAAACUGCAUUUGAUACUGCGGUGCUUGGGGACUGGAGAGGAGACUGGAAUUUACGGUGUAGCAGUGAAAUGCGUAGAGAUCGUAAGGAAGACCAGUGGCGAAGGCGGGGCUCUGGACAGUUCCUGGCACUGAGGCACGAAGGCCAGGGGAGCAAACGGG
Molecule: ribosomal RNA, 253 nt
Filed under: uncultured bacterium
Lineage: Bacteria
Description: partial 16S ribosomal RNA
Rfam family: Bacterial small subunit ribosomal RNA
Source: RNAcentral